RNAcentral lists this long non-coding RNA (1789 nucleotides) under Lactuca sativa (garden lettuce). RNAcentral's name for it is "long non-coding RNA (LSAT_LNC009568)". Lineage: Eukaryota; Viridiplantae; Streptophyta; Magnoliopsida; Asterales; Asteraceae. The record is from RNAcentral.
AUUUGACACUGAAGUGUUAUUACUGAAAGGAACAUCAGUUGCAGGAGAAUCUUCAGCUUCAAGGGUUUCAUCAGCAUCGGACAAAUGAGUUGUCGAGCUGACCGCAGUACCUUGAUUUACAGAACUUGGGUCUGAAGCGAUAGGAUCAGGAAUAAUAGCUUCUUCUUCAGUAUGAGAAACUUCAUCAUAUGGGCAAGAGAGAAGCUCUUGAAAGAUAGAAGAGGAAUGAACUACUUUUUCAUCAGUGUAUGAUUCUUCAUCAAACUUUACAUGAAUGGAUUCCUCAAUGCACUGCCUGUUCACAUGAAAAACACGAAAAGCCUUUGAAAUAGAUGAAUAUCCAACAAAAAUACCUUUGUCAGCCUUAGGCUCAAAUUUUGAUCUGGGAUCGCGCUGAUUGAGUAUAUAGCAAACACAUCCAAACACGUGAAAGAAGGAUACGUCUGGCUUUCGACCUUUCAGCAUCUCAUAUGGUGUCUUCUUGUGAACCUUGUGAAUUAGAGAGCGAUUCUGAGUAUAACAUGCUGUAUUAACAGCUUCAGCCCAAAAUGACAUAGGGAGACCAGCAUGUAUCAUCAAGGUUCUUCCUGCCUCAAUCAGUGUUCGAUUUCUUCGUUCAGCAACUCCGUUUUGUUGAGGUGUGCGAGGAGCUGAAAAGUUCUGCCCAAUGCCUUUAAAAUCACAAAAGUCUUCAAGAGUUGAAUUCCGGAACUCAGUGCCAUGAUCACUCCUUAGCUGCUUAACUUUGAGACCAGUCAGUGUCUCGUUUUGACGAAUCAGGGAGAUAAUUUCCUGUGCAGCAUGACCUUUCUUCUUCAAGAAAACCACCCAUGUAAAUCGAGUAAACUCAUCCACAACCACCAGAGUAUACUUGUUUCCUCCUAGGGAACGAACAGGAAUAGGUCCAAACAAGUCCAUGUGAAGUAAANUAGCCAUUUUCAAGAAGAUAUGAUGUCAGUGUCUCAUACCAGGCCCUGGGAGCUUGCUUCAGUCCAUAUACAGCUUUAUCUAGUCUGUACACAUAGUCAGGGUGCUCUUUGUCUUCAAAGCCUGGGGGCUGUUUGAGAAAUACUUCUUCUUCUAACACACCAUGAAGAAAUGUUGUUUUGACAUCCAUCUGGUAGACAAUGAAGUUCAUGUAUGAGGCAUAUGCGAGAAACAGUCUGAUUGCUUCAAUGCGGGCAACUGGAGCAAAAGUCUCCCCGUAGUCAAUAGAUUCAAUUUGAGUGAACCCCUGAGCAACAAGUCUUGCUUUGUUGCGAGUAAUAAUACCAUCUUUAUCAACCUUGUUGCGGUAGACCCAGCGUGUUCCGGUGAUGGUCUUUCCUGAUGGUCUGGGAACAAGAGUCCAAACCUUGUGCCUUUCGAACUCAUUCAGCUCGUCUUGCAUGGCUUUAAUCCAGUCAGCGUCUUGAAGAGCUGAGUGUAUCUUGUCAGGUAAGAUCAUUGAAACGAAAUUAACAUACAUGCAAAAAUUAUUAGAUACACGAGAUCUGGUUCGGACACCAUCAUGAAGAUUCCCAAUAAUUUGAUCAACAGGGUGAUCUCGAUGUUCAGGAGCUGAUUCCAAUGGAUUUGACACUGAAGUGUUAUUACUGAAAGGAACAUCAGUUGCAGGAGAAUCUUCAGCUUCAAGGGUUUCAUCAGCAUCGGACAAAUGAGUUGUCGAGCUGACCGCAGUACCUUGAUUUACAGAACUUGGGUCUGAAGCGAUAGGAUCAGGAAUAAUAGCUUCUUCUUCAGUAUGAGAAACUUCAUCAUAUGGGCAAGAGAGAAGCUCUUGAAAGAU